Molecule: transfer RNA, 74 nt
Filed under: Bacteroidales bacterium
Lineage: Bacteria; Pseudomonadati; Bacteroidota; Bacteroidia; Bacteroidales
Description: tRNA-Arg
Rfam family: tRNA
About the family: Transfer RNA (tRNA) molecules are approximately 80 nucleotides in length. Their secondary structure includes four short double-helical elements and three loops (D, anti-codon, and T loops).
Source: RNAcentral
GGCUUCGUAGCUCAAUUGAAUAGAGCGUCUGACUUCGGAUCAGAAGGUUGCGGGUUUGAAUCCCUCCGAGGUCA